Molecule: microRNA precursor, 204 nt
Organism: Oryza sativa Japonica Group (Japanese rice)
Lineage: Eukaryota; Viridiplantae; Streptophyta; Magnoliopsida; Poales; Poaceae
Rfam family: MIR812 microRNA precursor family
Source: Rfam
AAAAAGGCAAACCGUGGGUUUCCGUGCCAACGUUUGACUGUCCGUCUUAUAUGAAAAAUUUUUAUAAUUAGUAUUUUCAUUGUUGUUAGAUGAUAAAACAUGAUUAAUACUUUAUGCGUGACUUAUCUUUUUAAUUUUUUUCAUAUUUUUUUAAAUAAGACGGACGGUCAAAUGUUGGACACGGAAACCAGGGUUUGUCUUUUU